AAAACGACUCUCGGCAACGGAUAUCUCGGCUCUCGCAUCGAUGCAGAACGUAGCGAAAUGCGAUACUUGGUGUGAAUUGCAGAAUCCCGUGAACCAUCGAGUUUUUGAACGCAAGUUGCGCCCAAAGCCUUCGGGCCGAGGGCACGUCUGCCUGGGUGUCACGC
RNAcentral lists this ribosomal RNA (164 nucleotides) under Phyllanthus laciniatus. RNAcentral describes it as "5.8S ribosomal RNA". It matches the Rfam family "5.8S ribosomal RNA". Rfam says of the family: 5.8S ribosomal RNA (5.8S rRNA) is a component of the large subunit of the eukaryotic ribosome. It is transcribed by RNA polymerase I as part of the 45S precursor that also contains 18S and 28S rRNA. Functionally, it is thought that 5.8S rRNA may be involved in ribosome translocation. Lineage: Eukaryota; Viridiplantae; Streptophyta; Magnoliopsida; Malpighiales; Phyllanthaceae. The record is from RNAcentral.